Molecule: ribosomal RNA, 622 nt
Filed under: uncultured bacterium
Lineage: Bacteria
Description: bacterial SSU rRNA
Rfam family: Bacterial small subunit ribosomal RNA
Source: RNAcentral
UGCUUUACACAUGCAAGUCGAGCGGCAGCGCGGGGCACCUGUAGGCGGCGAGCGGCGAACGGGUGAGUAACAUAUCGGAACGUAUCCAUAAGUGGGGGACAACCUAGCGAAAGUUAGGCUAAUACCGCAUACGCUCGAGAGAGGAAAGUGGGGGAUCGCAAGACCUCACGCUUUAGGAGCGGCCGAUAUCAGAUUUGCUAGAUGGUGAGGUAAAGGCUUACCAUGGCGACGAUCUGUAGCUGGUCUGAGAGGAUGAUCAGCCACACUGGGACUGAGACACGGCCAGACUCCUACGGGAGGCAGCAGUGGGGAAUUUUGGACAAUGGGGGCAACCCUGAUCCAGCCAUUCCGCGUGAGUGAAGAAGGCCUUCGGGUUGUAAAGCUCUUUUGUUCGGGACGAAACGGUUUUGGCGAAUACCCAAGAUUACUGACGGUACCGGAAGAAUAAGCACCGGCUAACUACGUGCCAGCAGCCGCGGUAAUACGUAGGGUGCGAGCGUUAAUCGGACAUUCACUGGGCGUAAAGCGUGCGCAGGCGGUUUUUAUAAGCCAGAUGUGAAAGCCCCGGGCUCAACCUGGGAAUGGCAUUUGGGACUGUAAGGCUGGAGUAUGGCCAGAGGAG